AACGAACGCUGGCGGCAGGCCUAACACAUGCAAGUCGAGCGAGGACUUCGGUCCUAGCGGCGGACGGGUGAGUAACGCGUGGGAACGUGCCCUUUGCUUCGGAAUAGCCCUGGGAAACUGGGAGUAAUACCGGAUGAGCCCUUAGGGGGAAAGAUUUAUCGGCGAAGGAUCGGCCCGCGUUGGAUUAGGUAGUUGGUGGGGUAAUGGCCUACCAAGCCGACGAUCCAUAGCUGGUUGGAGAGGAUGAUCAGCCACACUGGGACUGAGACACGGCCCAGACUCCUACGGGAGGCAGCAGUGGGGAAUCUUAGACAAUGGGGGAAACCCUGAUCUAGCCAUGCCGCGUGAGCGAUGAAGGCCUUAGGGUUGUAAAGCUCUUUCAGCUGGGAAGAUAAUGACGGUACCAGCAGAAGAAGCCCCGGCUAACUCCGUG
This 433-nucleotide ribosomal RNA is filed under the name uncultured bacterium. Its description in RNAcentral is "partial 16S ribosomal RNA". It matches the Rfam family "Bacterial small subunit ribosomal RNA", at positions 29 to 507 of the family's 1533-position model. The record is from RNAcentral.